UAAUGUUGUGGCAUUGGAAGAUAGGAAGGAGGUGCCCCUACCUUCCACCUAUAUUGUUAAUAUCGCUGAUGUCAGUGGCCUGACCCGUAGUGGUCGUGUUUUCUCGGCCCCGCCGAAACCCUAGGCUGACACAAGAAGGGUUGAUACUGCUGAGAGUGUUGUUCGUCCAUUAGGGAAUUCUGUUGUUUCUCCGAAUCUGGCACUUGUUGUUAAUAGACUUGCCGCCGUUAUUGCUAAAACUCCUAUCCCUGAUGGCCAUAAUGGCAUGAUGAAAG
This 275-nucleotide long non-coding RNA is filed under the name Lathyrus oleraceus (garden pea). RNAcentral's name for it is "Pisum sativum (pea) long non-coding RNA (PSAT_LNC012308)". Lineage: Eukaryota; Viridiplantae; Streptophyta; Magnoliopsida; Fabales; Fabaceae. The record is from RNAcentral.